AAUGCAGUCGACGCGUCUCCGUUGAUGAUUUUAGGUGCUUGCACCUGAAAGAUUUAACAUUGAGACGAGUGGCGAACUGGUGAGUAACACGUGGGUAACCUGCCCUUGAAGUAGGGGAUAACACUUGGAAACAGGUGCUAAUACCGUAUAACAACCAAAACCACCUGGUUUUGGUUUAAAAGACGGCUUCGGCUGUCACUUUAGGAUGGACCCGCGGCGUAUUAGCUUGUUGGUAAGGUAACGGCUUACCAAGGCGAUGAUACGUAGCCGACCUGAGAGGGUAAUCGGCCACAUUGGGACUGAGACACGGCCCAAACUCCUACGGGAGGCAGCAGUAGGGAAUCUUCCACAAUGGACGAAAGUCUGAUGGAGCAACGCCGCGUGAGUGAUGAAGGGUUUCGGCUCGUAAAACUCUGUUGUUGGAGAAGAACAGGUGUCAGAGUAACUGUUGACAUCUUGACGGUAUCCAACCAGAAAGCCACGGCUAACUACGUGCCAGCAGCCGCGGUAAUACGUAGGUGGCAAGCGUUGUCCGGAUUUAUUGGGCGUAAAGCGAGCGCAGGCGGUUUUUUAGGUCUGAUGUGAAAGCCUUCGGCUUAACCGGAGAAGUGCAUCGGAAACCGGGAGGCUUGAGUGCAGAAGAGGACAGUGGAACUCCAUGUGUAGCGGUGAAAUGCGUAGAUAUAUGGAAGAACACCAGUGGCGAAAGCGGCUGUCUGGUCUGUAACUGACGCUGAGGCUCGAAAGCAUGGGUAGCGAACAGGAUUAGAUACCC
This 775-nucleotide ribosomal RNA is filed under the name Lentilactobacillus buchneri. Its description in RNAcentral is "bacterial SSU rRNA". It matches the Rfam family "Bacterial small subunit ribosomal RNA", at positions 54 to 787 of the family's 1533-position model. The record is from RNAcentral. Lineage: Bacteria; Bacillati; Bacillota; Bacilli; Lactobacillales; Lactobacillaceae.